AUUAUACUACAGGUAUAUACAAUAACUGUACCAGCCAGGGUGUUAAAACUGGCUUGUCCAAAAAAUACUGUGGGUGAUGUGUGGCAACUUACAUGGUGCUUGAAAUGAAUUGUCACAUGCUGACAAUUCAGCAUCUUUUCAACAAAAAUUAUCGAAACAUAUGAAGUAGAUAAUGUAAACAGCAGCUGACAACUUUUGAGGUAUUCAAGAAAUAUCACAAAGCUUGCAAGUUGCUGUUUAAUAAAGAAAACAAUUUCUUAGGUCAUCCAUGGCCAUCUAGUUAAAAAGUGGCUGACGUCUAAUUUCAAGAGUGGCUGGUGCAAAAUGUACACUACUAUAACAAACAUAAUUUAAUUAUUAAUGUCAAUAAAUUUGAACAAAUAUGCUCAAGCAUUAAUUAAAUAUGAUACAGUUCAUGUAUGCAGGGAUGGAUCCAGCAUGAUCUGGUAGGGGGGUGCUCUGGUGCCGACUGCCAAAUUGUGUCGGUCAUGUGUGCCGCCCACCCAUCAACUGCUGUAUUUGAAUUGUAAUUGUUCACAGUUCACUUAUCAUGUUAUUACUCAAAUUAUUGUAUCUCAUUUUGUCUUUUUUGCUUUAUCAUAAAAAAUAGCACCCUCCUGCACCCCCUCUGGCCAGGGCUAGGGGGGUACACACCCCACACCCUCCCAGUAAAUCCAUCCCUGCAUGUAUGUGCACUUUCUAUAUUGUGCUCAGGUAUUUGGUGGAGCAUGUUGUUGGCCACGUUGAGGGAUCACAGCUCAAUUUGUAUUCACCAAUAACUUUCAGAAAGACAUCAUAAAGGAC
Molecule: non-coding RNA, 804 nt
Organism: Paramuricea clavata
Lineage: Eukaryota; Metazoa; Cnidaria; Anthozoa; Malacalcyonacea; Plexauridae
Source: the annotation of a GenBank genome assembly